GUGAUGGCAGGGAGGUUGUGUAGGAGGCAGUUGAAAUAAUCCAGGCAAGAGAUGUUGAUUUGGAUUAAUAAAAUGAAAACGUGAUUUCCAGGGUGGGGUUGUUGGAGUGAUUUAAAGUAUUAUCUUUGAAAUUAAAUGAAAAUAUCUCCGUAUUUGAAAUUUACUGUUGCACCUUGACAACUGAAGCUUUUGAAAAUGGAAUUUGUAUAUAGAUUUAACUGCAUAAAUCAUUAAUGAAGCACCUAUGAAAUACCCAAUGAAGUGAUAGAAUGCUAGAGGAUCUCCUCCUGAACAAGUUAUUUUAAUCUCACUGGAUGAGCUACAGAAAAUCAUGAACAUGUAUUCUGGAGCACUUUUUGUUUAAAUGUGUGUAAGAAAGAUAAUAUUUAUGGUGCAUCCACUAGCUACCAGUGUUUGUACUGGGCAUUUAACAUAGGGAGUGCCUUUAACCUUGAAAACAACUCUGUGACAGCAGUUUUCAAAAAUCCUUGGUUUUAGGACCCUUUUAGAUUUUUAAAAAUCAUUGAGGACCCUGAAAGCUUUUGUUUGUGUGGGCUGUAGAGAGAGAUAGGUAGAUAGACAGAUAUAGAUAGAGAUAUAGAUGUUAACCAUAUUCAGAAUUAAAACUAAAACAUUAAAAAUUAUUAAUUUGGAAUUCUUGUUAUGGUGCAGUGGAAAUGAAUCCAGCUAGUAUCCAGAAAGUUGUGGGUUCGAUCCCUGGCUUUGCUCAGCAGGUCAGGGAUCCAGAGUUGCCAUGAGCUGCAGUGUAGGUCACAGAUGUGGCCCCGAUCCCAUGUUGCUGUGGCUGUGUUGUAGGCUGGCAGCUGCAACUUGAUUUGAUCCCUAGCCUGGUAACUUCCAUAUACCGUGAGUGCAGCCCUAAAAAUCAAUAAUAAAAUAAUAAUAAAAAAUAGCAAAAAAAAAAAACUUAUAUGUAAUAUAAAUACCAUAAUUUAUAAAAGUUUAAAAUGUAGAAAAAAUAGCACAGAUAUACUUUUUUGUAAAUAUUGUAAAUUUCUGGCUUAAUAGAAGAUUCUCAUUUUUGCUUCUGUGUUGAAUCUGUUGUGAUGGAUUGUUGUGGUUUAAAUAUAUGGAGAAAAGCUGACCUUAUACAGAUAUAUAGUAGAAAUCAGGGAAAAUUUUAAAAUCCUUUUCAGGUAAUUGUGAAAAUUAACUGUAACAAGGAAUCUGAAGUGUAUUUUUUUUUUUUUUUUUUUUUUUUUUUGUCUUUUUAGGGCUGUACCUCCACCAUGUGGAGGUUCCCAGGGUAGGGGUUGAAUCGGAGCUGUAGCAGACAGCCUAUGCCACAGCCAUAGCAGCGCCAGAUCCAAGCUGUGUCUGCAACUUAUACCAUAGCUCACAGCAGUGCAGGAUCCUUAAUCCUGAGCAGGGCCAGGGAUCGAACCUGCAUCCUCAUGGAUGCUAGUCAGAUUCGUUUCCACUGAGCUGCGAUGUGAACUCCCAACUUUUUUUAAUUCUGUCAAAUUUAAGUCCAUUGAUUGCCUUUCAUGUUACCCAUACAUGGUAUUGUAACAUCCUAUGUUGGUCAUUUAGAAAAUAUUGACUUACUGAGUGGUGCUUGUCUCCAAAUGUUGAUACAUUUUACUUUGCAGUAUUUUUAAAGUGGCGUGUGUGUUCCAAUACCACCAACCUCAUCCGAAAAGCCCGUAUGUCUUAGGAAGCUAUCAAGGUCACAGUGGAGAGGCAAGUUUUCCAAAAUUCUAACUUUCACUUGAUAGAUCACAUUUUAUCAUUGGUAACAGUGUUUACCUUGCAGUAACAGGUCUGCUUCUUUUAUUUUCAGGAAAAUGUCAGCCACCUAUCUACGUUGCAAUAACCAUAGUUUAUCUCAGUUGUUAUUUCAAGUAAAAAUGGUAUCCUGUGAAAAUGACUGCUAGUUCAACUCACGAGACACAUGCUUUUCCAUGAGGCAGCCAUGCAUGCCAGUGAUCUUCAGAAAUGCUUUAUGUGGAUCACCCAUUUUAUCACAGAGAAUAUUAAAAAGAUGAGUACUGAAGAGUUAAGAUUGAGUAUUAUUCAUCAUGCUGCUUCAUUUAGGACAUUCUUAGGUGAGACAAAAGUGUCCCUCUUCUUUAUCUCUGUCAACACUGAUCGAAGAAAAAUACGACCACUACUGUGACAGUUUGGUACCACUGCCUAGAUUCACACUGAGGCUGGAACAGUUUUACCCUCAUUUACUGUGGCACCAUCAGUGCAAAUGUCAACACAAUGGCAAAGGCAAACACCGUAAUGUUGUUAUAAAUUAGUUUUUUUAUUGCAAACGCCAUAGGAGCUGGAUACUGUGCCCACCCCCACCCCAGCCUCGUGGAUCUGUUUUGAGAAUUAAUGUUUUAUGCAGUAGGUGUUUUAGGAUGAAGAGACUGAGCCUGAGAGAGGCCAGGUGACUUGUGUCAGGUCACAUGGCUUGUCUGCAGCAUCAAAACUUGAAUUCAGGUCUGUCAGACCCAAAGUUAGUCUCCACUGGUCCCCUUUCCCUCUGUAUACACUCACAACGGUAGCCUUACAUAGGACCUAGAAGGAAGUGUGAACUUGGUUGUUCAAAAUGAGGGAUCUGGGUGAUAAGAAUAAAAUAAAUGAAAUGGGCACAGAGCACUUUGUGGAGGUUAAAAAAAGACCCAAGUGGAGUAUCCAUUUGGCCAUUUCUAUACAUGGCAUUGGGGAAGGAGGGUGGGUGGCAUGAACUGAUCAAGGACUUGAAUGUCAGAAGAAUGCCGACCUUAUUUUUUUAAAAAAGACUUUUAAUUCUUAACCAGAGAACAUGUGAUAAAAAUAGCAUUAAACUGUCAUCAAUGGUGGAUGUAUCACCCAAGGAUAGAGAGUGGGGGGAAGGAAAAUCUUGGAGGUCAUUGUGUUCAUUCAGCAUGUGGUAAUAGCUUCAACCACAGCAAAAGGGGGAGAAGGAUCAGAAAAAUAAAACAAAGAUAAAGCAUCCAGAGUAUAGUCAUUGCUAAUGGGGGAUGCAAAGGAAAAUGAUCCAUUGGACUUGCAGCUGUCAAGUGUGAGGCUCUGAGGAACACAGAUUAAUCUUUUAAUCUUUUUAAAAGAUUAGCGGUUACUUGGGGGUGAUUAGCGGUUAUGGUGGACUGGAGGUCAUGUCAAUAUAGCCAGCUGAAGAUGUUCUGGUAACAGUUGAUUUGUGAAAUUUGAAUUAAGGUUGCGGUAGCUAUAAAGAUCAAUGCCUCAAGAGUGGGCGAUUGAGAGCUUAUCAUGGAAGAUGCCUACUGUUAGGAUGGAGUGAAGAAGAACCAAUUUAGGAGAAAGAGGAGUGAUUGAAGAGGUAGAAGCACAUCAGCAGCAGGGGUUGUAACUGGAGUCAUCUUCAUUGAUUGAGGUAGCAACUGUAAUAAUGAUAAUGGCUGAUGCUUACUAAGGUCUUAGUAUGUGGCAGGCUUGGCAUGCAGUGGGUCAUGGAAUUCUCAGAACAAUAUUAUGGAGGAUGACAGGUUUUAGUCCCAGUCCCAGGAGAAAACAUGGUGUUUAGAAACAUGAGAUAAUUCAUCCAAGGUCAUACAGCUAGCAAGUUGGCUCAGAAUUGAUCUCCCAUCUCUCUGAAUCUGGCAUCACUCCCCAUUUUACUGUAGUCUUAGGAGAACCAAGGAACUGAAUGAGUUCACCAUGUGCUGUGUAAAAUUCACAAGUGAAGUCAGCAGUGACAAGAACCAAGGAAGACCAUCUUAAGAGGGCUCUCCGUGUGAGGUCUCAGCAGAGAGAUGAUAUUGGAAGCAGGCGACAAGAAGUGGUGACUCGUGUCUAAGGAAAUGAAUGGGGCUUAAGCAAAAGGGACAGCUUGUGGGAGAGAUUUGUAAAUGAAAGUAAAAAAAAAAAAACUAAAACAUGUUUCAAUUAGCAUGGAUUAUUAACUGAAGUGGUUUAGAAUUUAGGUGAAAGUAGGUGUAAAGUAGUUGAAAGUGGGUAGGAAUAAUGUGUCAGGUGACAAGAAGGAAAGCACUUACUUGUGGGUGUGAUAGGUGAUGGGUGUGGGAGAAAGAGGUAAGGACUAAGAGUUUGGGUAGAGGGCAGUUUCUGCUGUGGUGCAGUGGGUUAAGAAUCCAACUGCAGUGACUCGGGUUGCUGUGA
Molecule: long non-coding RNA, 4098 nt
Filed under: Sus scrofa (pig)
Lineage: Eukaryota; Metazoa; Chordata; Mammalia; Artiodactyla; Suidae
Description: lncRNA (ENSSSCG00035076273.1)
Source: RNAcentral